This 437-nucleotide ribosomal RNA is filed under the name Rhodothermales bacterium. RNAcentral describes it as "partial 23S ribosomal RNA". It matches the Rfam family "Bacterial large subunit ribosomal RNA", at positions 1 to 458 of the family's 2925-position model. Lineage: Bacteria; Pseudomonadati; Rhodothermota; Rhodothermia; Rhodothermales. The record is from RNAcentral.
GAGAAAGUUACUAAGAGCGUAUGGGGGAUGCCUAGGCUCUCAGAGGCGAUGAAGGACGUGAUAAGCUGCGAUAAGCUGCGGGGAUUAGCACAUAUGAAGUGAUCCGCAGAUUUCCGAAUGGGGCAACCCACUUAAUUGAAGAUUAAGUACCGAAAGGGGCAAACCCGGAGAACUGAAACAUCUAAGUACCCGGAGGAAGAGAAAACAAUAGUGAUUCCGUUAGUAGUGGCGAGCGAACGCGGAACAGCCCAAACCACUUUGGUUACGGCCAGAGUGGGGUUGUAGGACUGCGAUAUCUUAACAAAAAUGAACUGGAACGGUCUGGGAAGGCCGGUCGUAGAAGGUGAGAACCCUGUACAGGUAAGUUUUUGAGCGGUAGCAGUAUCCUGAGUAAGGCGGGACAGGUGAAAUCCCGUCUGAAUCUACCGGCACCAUCC